RNAcentral lists this ribosomal RNA (600 nucleotides) under Agrypninae sp. 1 JFH-2017. Its description in RNAcentral is "LSU rRNA". It matches the Rfam family "Eukaryotic large subunit ribosomal RNA", at positions 691 to 1240 of the family's 3401-position model. The record is from RNAcentral. Lineage: Eukaryota; Metazoa; Arthropoda; Insecta; Coleoptera; Elateridae.
UCAUUGGGAUUCGUAGCUAAACCUAAAGGCGAAAUGAAAGUGAAGGCGCGCCUCGCGCGCGCCAAGGGAGGAUGGGCGGGACUACGUCGCCGCCCCGCACUCCCGGGGCGUCUCGUUCUCAUCGCGAGAAGAGGCGCACCCAGAGCGUACACGCUGGGACCCGAAAGAUGGUGAACUAUGCCUGGUCAGGACGAAGUCAGGGGAAACCCUGAUGGAGGUCCGUAGCGAUUCUGACGUGCAAAUCGAUCGUCGGAACUGGGUAUAGGGGCGAAAGACUAAUCGAACCAUCUAGUAGCUGGUUCCCUCCGAAGUUUCCCUCAGGAUAGCUGGCGCUCGCUUUUUUGCGAGUCUCAUCCGGUAAAGCGAAUGAUUAGAGGCAUUGGGGUCGAAACGGCCUCAACCUAUUCUCAAACUUUAAAUGGGUGAGAUCUCCGGCUUGCUUAAACACGUUUGUUAUGAAGCCGCGAGAUCGGAUCAGAGUGCCAAGUGGGCCAUUUUUGGUAAGCAGAACUGGCGCUGUGGGAUGAACCAAACGCGGAGUUAAAGCGCCUAAAUCGACGCUUAUGGGAUACCAUGAAAGGCGUUGGUAACUUAAGACAG